CUUCUUUCUCCUUUUUCUCUUUUGCAUAGCUUUAUGGCUCUCACUGAAGGUGAAACUAGGAAAAUACUUCACCCAGAGGUGAGUCUAUAGGUGAUGAACGUUAUAACAAGGCUCUAUUGUCUUUGGUGGAGGUGGGGAGCCCCGCAUGCCCUGAGCUCAGGCAUUGAGUACUGUUCUACCAAAUACUCACACACCGGGCAGGUGUUUGAGGUGGGGUGGCCCCGGGGCAGUUGCUGAACAGGGUACACAAAAGGUUAGUGAGUAUAAUUACACUUUCAUAAAAAUGAAUGUUGGACUUCCUCCCCUGCUGCGUCUUAGUUACCGGGGCUAAAAUAAAUAUUUUAAUUAGUUUCAGCUUCCAAAAGAGUCUUAGCAGGCCAGACUUCCGAAUCUGCCUCCCACGGGGAAAACGCUUUCAAAUCCCACCAGUUGGCACCAAAUCCCUCCCAAACAAAAACCCAAAACCGAAAACCACAUUUCGAACUAAACAAGUCACUGCUUCUUAGAUAGACAGCUGCAGUGUGCACUGGGAGCUCGGCGUGACACAAUCUCGAGCAAAAGCAGAACCUCCGGGUCUUUUGUCAUUUACCACGAACUGCAGGAUGUUACCACGAAAGCACCGCAGAAGUCUUAUAACCCACCACCCUUUCAUUUGACGUUUCCAGAAAAAGAUAGGUGCGCCCCAGAGAGUUUAUGGCACAUAAAUAGGUAACAAGUUCAUAGUGGAUUCACGGCAAUAAUGCGUGGGCCAGAAAUUCCAAACUGGUGAACAGCAAGCUGACUGGGGUGCACAGACAUAAAUGGUUUCUUUGGCCAGAACGGUGUUUUUCAAAGUCUAAGCGAGCUGCAACGGCACCAGCUACUUUUGUAACGGUGCACGGCUAUACCACAGGUCCCAGCUUCCCCAGCGUAGAGCAGGGACCACGAGACUGAGUUCUGCCAAUGGAACAUACGCUUCUGGGCAGUGUCAUGGCAAAUCCUUCCCCCGGUGUUCGAGCUGUAUCCGCAGCUGGACGCACGGAGGAAAACUAGCGUAGCAGAUGUAGAUCCUCAUGAAGAAGAGAGCCUUUGCCCCUGAAGGAGCUGACAGGGUCUCCACCGUGACCUGCACUGGCUGUGAUGGGAGGGAACAUCAACACCCCUGAGAUGUUGAGUUUGUGUGUGACAACCGUCUUUGUUUGGGUCCCUCUAAAAUCGGGCUAUGAGAUAUGGAUUCGUGUGCAAGUGGCUUAUUUGAAGGUGAUCCCUUGGAAACAUCAGUGGGUGCGUGGGGAGGUGGGAUGGGGAAGGAGUGGAAACCAAUGAAUGAUACAUUGUCUGUCAGCGUCUGCUGUGGGCAGCUCAGUCACACAAGGGAACGCUGGGGGAACACAGAAGACACCUCAGGGCUGUCUCAGUGGAGGGGUGAAGAGACUGGGGAUUCAUGCACUCCCCGUGUGUCUGUCAUUGGUGGGACGAUGCCUCCAAAAGCAUUAAUUCUUCAACAUUCCGGGCAUACCCUGCACAAAUGCCGAGUGCGCAUACAGUGUUUUGAGCAAGACUUAAAGUUGUGUUCAGGAGGCAGCUUCGUGGGCGGAGACAAGUGCCAAGUGGACACGAGGAGGCCACCAACAACGUCUGCUGAAAAUGUUUAGCCCACACUGACUGAUGCAGGUGCCAACAUCCGAAACUAGACGGCAACAUAAAACUCUGAAUUUCUGACCUCUCUCAAAACAUAAGCAGAUAGUCACAAGUGGGUCUGCAUUUCUGUAUGGCGGUAACUGGUUGGAGCGGAGUGGCGAUUGAUGCUUUAGAUGCAGGUAGUGUCUCUAACUUUCCACAGUCGCCACGGCACCCUACUGUCUCUUAACCGCACCCUAUUUCCCUUGUUUAUGUCGUUUUAAUGGUCCUUACAGUAGGCGUUUGAAUCUGUAACCUCCGGUGCUCUAGUACGACAAGGCUUUUGUUUCUUUGCUUCUUUUUCAUUCCAGCUGCAUUUUCCUCCCUCCCUACUCCACUUUGAAAGCUGCUCAAAAUAUGUCCCCGUGAAACCUUCCCACUGACCCCCACCUACAACACUCACGACACUUCUGUAGCCAUUUGGACCUAUAGUGUCCAAUAAGUCACUGGCUACAUGUAGCGAUUAACAUUUAAAUUCCAGCUCAUUAAAAGUAACUAACUAAGAUUAAUGAAAAUUAAACAUUCAGUCCCGUCCACUGCACUGGCCACAUUUCAAGGGAUCAAUAGUCCUACGAGGUCAGUGGCUAGCAUAUUGGACACCACAGCUAGAACACAUUUCCCUAAUUACACAAAGUUCCUUUGGAUACGCCGUUUGAUAGAAUGGGCUGUCAUUCUUGCUCUUGGCUUUUCUUGUAGGUGAUCUUGUGUUUUCCAUAAAUAUGCACCCUUUAAGAUAAAAUCCACUUCAAAAAGGAGAGAGCUUGCUCAGCAUACCACGCAUUCUUUCUCCCCCUCAAGUACCUGUACAAUUGUCCGCAGUUAACAUUGUGAAUGUUUCUCAAGUUUCUGCGUGAGGUUCUGUAUCGCGGUCCCCCGUGGUCUCAUCCGGGGAGAUACUGUGUGUUCUCCUGUCCCCUCAGGCUUAUGUGGAAAACUGGGAAAGUUGCUUCGGGUAGAAAAGACAGGAUCAGGUAUGAUUUUAACAUCAUACCCUUGCGGGAUCGGAAAGAAGCUCAUUAAGACCACUUACUGCUUUCGCCUUAAAAAAAAAAAAAAAAAAGUAUGGGUUCCAUACUGUGA
Long non-coding RNA from Lynx canadensis (Canada lynx), 2739 nucleotides. RefSeq lists it as uncharacterized. NCBI's taxonomy places the organism in Eukaryota, Metazoa, Chordata, Mammalia, Carnivora, Felidae. The record is from RefSeq and is a predicted model, not a curated record. The transcript is spliced from 2 exons.